UACGUAGGGUGCAAGCGUUAAUCGGAAUUACUGGGCGUAAAGCGUGCGCAGGCGGUGAUGUAAGACAGGUGUGAAAUCCCCGGGCUUAACCUGGGAACUGCAUUUGUGACUGCAUCGCUGGAGUGCGGCAGAGGGGGAUGGAAUUCCGCGUGUAGCAGUGAAAUGCGUAGAUAUGCGGAGGAACACCGAUGGCGAAGGCAAUCCCCUGGGCCUGCACUGACGCUCAUGCACGAAAGCGUGGGAG
Molecule: ribosomal RNA, 244 nt
Filed under: uncultured bacterium
Lineage: Bacteria
Description: partial 16S ribosomal RNA
Rfam family: Bacterial small subunit ribosomal RNA
Source: RNAcentral